RNAcentral lists this ribosomal RNA (440 nucleotides) under uncultured bacterium. Its description in RNAcentral is "partial 16S ribosomal RNA". It matches the Rfam family "Bacterial small subunit ribosomal RNA", at positions 338 to 795 of the family's 1533-position model. The record is from RNAcentral.
CCUACGGGAGGCAGCAGUGGGGAAUAUUGCACAAUGGGGGAAACCCUGAUGCAGCGACGCCGCGUGAGUGAAGACGUAUUUCGGUACGUAAAGCUCUAUCAGCAGGGAAGAAAAUGACGGUACCUGACUAAGAAGCCCCGGCUAACUACGUGCCAGCAGCCGCGGUAAUACGUAGGGGGCAAGCGUUAUCCGGAUUUACUGGGUGUAAAGGGAGCGUAGACGGCUGCGCAAGUCUGGAGUGAAAUCCCAUGGCUUAACCAUGGAACUGCUUUGGAAACUGUGCAGCUAGAGUGCAGGAGAGGUAAGCGGAAUUCGUGGUGUAGCGGUGAAAUGCGUAGAUAUUAGGAGGAACACCAGUGGCGAAGGCGGCUUACUGGACUGUAACUGACGUUGAGGCUCGAAAGCGUGGGGAGCAAACAGGAUUAGAUACCCCAGUAGUC